CAACUACGACUCGGACCACUACGAGAAGGACUGCCUGGUGCUGGAGCGCAGCGAGCAGCCGCACCCCGUGUGCACCUUCCAGGAUGACUUCCAGGAGUUCGAGAUGAUCGACGACAACGAGGAAGAGGAGGAGGAAGAGGACGAGGAGGAGGAGGAGGAGGAGGAGGAGGGCAACGAGCUGGAAGCUCCACCGUCGCCUUCGGCCUCGCCCAUCCCCUCGCCCGCCGUGGAGGAGACGCAGAAGCACCGGCCCACCACCCUCAACCUGACAGCGCCGGGCACCCAGGACUCCCUGAACAACAACGGCAGCUACCCGCCUCCCGCUCCCGCGCAUCGGACCACGUGGCAGGACGCCCUUCUCCACUGCUCCUCCUCCUCCUCUUCCUCGCACGCUGGGCACGCGUCUCCGCACCCCUGCAUCCAGGACGGACCCUGCCUGGAAAGCCGGAGGGGCCCGGGGCCGAGCCCAGG
This 471-nucleotide long non-coding RNA is filed under the name Apteryx owenii (little spotted kiwi). Its description in RNAcentral is "lncRNA (ENSAOWG00000004802.1)". Lineage: Eukaryota; Metazoa; Chordata; Aves; Apterygiformes; Apterygidae. The record is from RNAcentral.